UAAAAAAAGGAAAAUAUGUUAGCUUCUUUGAGAAGUCUCUAGGAGAGAGAAGAGAGGCAUCAUGGAAGCAACUUAUAUUCAUAUUUGACACUGUUCUCUACUAACAAACUGCUACAAUUAUCUUGCUCUUUCAGACAUUUCAAGGCCAAAGACAGAGCUUUUCACUUUUCAAGAAUCAGGAUUGUGACGGUUAGUAAGAAGGAAAGGACCCAAAGACAGAUUCAAAGCGGUUUUUUACUUUCUUAUUAGCUAUUCAUAUUUCAAGGACUCUGCUCAUGGGAGGUGGGUAAUUCGUGACUUCUGUCUACUGAUAGAAAAAACAAUAACU
This is a non-coding RNA of Cajanus cajan (pigeon pea), 328 nucleotides long. Lineage: Eukaryota; Viridiplantae; Streptophyta; Magnoliopsida; Fabales; Fabaceae. The record is from RefSeq and is a predicted model, not a curated record.